RNAcentral lists this unclassified non-coding RNA (385 nucleotides) under Hevea brasiliensis (rubber tree). Lineage: Eukaryota; Viridiplantae; Streptophyta; Magnoliopsida; Malpighiales; Euphorbiaceae. The record is from RNAcentral.
AAAAGAAAAAAGAAAAAAAAAAGCAGUGAGUUUCUACAUUCAACUACUACGUAUUACACAAGGAACAUGCAAUAGCCAAGGGAUAUCUUAGUUGUCUUUGCUGUCUCAUAUAUAAUUGCCAUUUAUAUUCCCCCAAGUCCACCCUGCCAACCUGCUAUGAUAGUGCAUAUAUAAUGGUAAAAUAUAGGACCUGCAAAUUCUUACUAUAUUGUAACAUAGCACUAGCAAUCCCAUGGUAAAAUCAUACUUAUAAAGUUCUGACAGCAGAACCAGGACAUAUAAGGAAAACCAAUCCAGGAUCUAGUAAUUCCAUUUUAAGCUUGAAGAGCAACAAUUAUAGAGGGAUUCGAAAAUCAUUUCAUGCAGCCAGAUAUCAAAACAAAUU